AGUGAACGCUGGCGGCAGGCCUAACACAUGCAAGUCGAACGGCAGCACAGGAGAGCUUGCUCUCUGGGUGGCGAGUGGCGGACGGGUGAGGAAUACAUGGGAAUCUACCCUGUCGUGGGGGAUAACGUAGGGAAACUUACGCUAAUACCGCAUACGACCGAGAGGUGAAAGCGGCGGACCGCAAGGCGUCGCGCGACUGGAUGAGCCCAUGUCGGAUUAGCUUGUUGGCGGGGUAACGGCCCACCAAGGCGACGAUCCGUAGCUGGUCUGAGAGGAUGAUCAGCCACAUUGGGACUGAGACACGGCCCAAACUCCUACGGGAGGCAGCAGUGGGGAAUAUUGGACAAUGGGCGAAAGCCUGAUCCAGCCAUGCCGCGUGAGUGAUGAAGGCCCUAGGGUUGUAAAGCUCUUUUGUGCGGGAAGAUAAUGACGGUACCGCAAGAAUAAGCCCCGGCUAACUUCGUGC
RNAcentral lists this ribosomal RNA (466 nucleotides) under uncultured bacterium. RNAcentral's name for it is "bacterial SSU rRNA". It matches the Rfam family "Bacterial small subunit ribosomal RNA", at positions 29 to 508 of the family's 1533-position model. The record is from RNAcentral.